Sinocyclocheilus rhinocerous is the source of this 125-nucleotide long non-coding RNA. RefSeq lists it as uncharacterized. NCBI's taxonomy places the organism in Eukaryota, Metazoa, Chordata, Actinopteri, Cypriniformes, Cyprinidae. The transcript has 2 exons. The record is from RefSeq and is a predicted model, not a curated record.
AUAGAAGCAAACAAUGAUUACAGGAGAUAUAUUUUUAAAGUGGCACAAACUGGAGAGAGACUGCUGUUCUGGGCACUAUGUUUAUCUGGGAAAAGUUUGACAUAUCAAUAAACAUUGGAAAAUUA